CAAGCUGAAAGCACGCAGGGCA
RNAcentral lists this unclassified non-coding RNA (22 nucleotides) under Mus musculus (house mouse). Its description in RNAcentral is "oocyte_clustered_small_RNA13239". The record is from RNAcentral. Lineage: Eukaryota; Metazoa; Chordata; Mammalia; Rodentia; Muridae.